AGGUCCUUAUCUCAGUGGUAGAUCAUUUGACUGUAAGUCAAGAGGUCACCAGUUCAAACCUGAUAGGGCUUU
This 72-nucleotide transfer RNA is filed under the name Capsicum annuum. It matches the Rfam family "tRNA". From Rfam's summary of the family: Transfer RNA (tRNA) molecules are approximately 80 nucleotides in length. Their secondary structure includes four short double-helical elements and three loops (D, anti-codon, and T loops). The record is from Rfam by way of RNAcentral. Lineage: Eukaryota; Viridiplantae; Streptophyta; Magnoliopsida; Solanales; Solanaceae.